CAUCUGCUCCUCUCAACUUGAUUUCAAAUGUCAACGAGACAUCGGUGAACUUGGAAUGGAGCAGUCCUCAGAACACAGGGGGCCGCCAGGACGUUUCCUACAAUGUGGUCUGCAAGAAAUGUGGAGCUGGUGACCCCAGCAAGUGCCGACCCUGCGGGAGUGGUGUCCAUUUUACCCCACAGCAGAAUGGCCUGAAGACCACCAAAGUCUCCAUCACUGACCUCCUAGCUCAUACCAACUACACAUUUGAAAUCUGGGCGGUGAAUGGAGUGUCCAAGUAUAACCCUAGCCCCGAUCAAUCAGUUUCCGUCACCGUGACAACCAACCAAGCAGCACCUUCAUCCAUUGCUUUGGUCCAGGCUAAAGAAGUAACAAGAUACAGUGUUGCAUUAGCUUGGUUGGAACCAGAUAGGCCCAAUGGGGUGAUCUUGGAGUAUGAAGUCAAAUAUUAUGAGAAGGAUCAGAACGAGCGAAGUUAUCGCAUUGUCCGGACGGCUGCCAGGAACACGGAUAUCAAAGGACUGAACCCUCUGACUUCCUAUGUUUUCCAUGUGCGAGCCCGGACUGCUGCUGGCUAUGGGGACUUCAGUGAGCCUUUGGAGGUCACAACCA
Molecule: long non-coding RNA, 612 nt
Organism: Loxodonta africana (African savanna elephant)
Lineage: Eukaryota; Metazoa; Chordata; Mammalia; Proboscidea; Elephantidae
Exons: 3
Source: RefSeq, a predicted model, not a curated record